Molecule: small RNA, 221 nt
Filed under: Staphylococcus aureus
Lineage: Bacteria; Bacillati; Bacillota; Bacilli; Caryophanales; Staphylococcaceae
Description: HMPRFS0000_2544
Source: RNAcentral
GAUUCAAUAAUAAAUUAUCAUAUGUGACUAACUCAUCUUCAAUAUAAAUUUCAUUUAUUAAAUGCAUAUAUUGAUACUUGAAGGCUUCGCCAGUUUUUGAAUAACCAGGAGUUAAAAUAUCAGUAUAAAAUAAUGAACUAGAAUUAUUGAGAUUGAACGUAUUGUGUUGAUAAAAUUUAGCAUUUUCAUAUGCGAUGAUUGGAUCAGCGACAUAUUCUAAA